Sinocyclocheilus rhinocerous is the source of this 117-nucleotide ribosomal RNA. NCBI's taxonomy places the organism in Eukaryota, Metazoa, Chordata, Actinopteri, Cypriniformes, Cyprinidae. The record is from Ensembl.
AACCACAGCCAUAUCACCCUGCAGCCCAAGACUGGUUGCCCACUGAAGCUAAGCAGGGUUGAGCCUGGUCAGUACCUGGAUGGGAGACCUCCUGGGAAAACUAGGUUGCUGUUGGAA